This 328-nucleotide unclassified non-coding RNA is filed under the name soil metagenome. RNAcentral's name for it is "partial contains 5.8S ribosomal RNA, internal transcribed spacer 2, and large subunit ribosomal RNA". The stretch from base 2 to 119 matches the Rfam family "5.8S ribosomal RNA", at positions 37 to 154 of the family's 154-position model. The record is from RNAcentral.
GUGAAGAACGUAGCGAAAUGCGAUAAGUAAUGUGAAUUGCAGAAUUCAGUGAAUCAUCGAAUCUUUGAACGCACAUUGCGCCCUCUGGUAUUCCGGGGGGCAUGCCUGUUCGAGCGUCAUUAUAACCACUCAAGCUCUCGCUUGGUAUUGGGGUUCGCGGUUCCGCGGCCCCUAAAAUCAGUGGCGGUGCCUGUCGGCUCUACGCGUAGUAAUACUCCUCGCGAUUGAGUCCGGUAGGUCUACUUGCCAGCAACCCCCAAUUUUUACAGGUUGACCUCGGAUCAGGUAGGGAUACCCGCUGAACUUAAGCAUAUCAAUAAGCGGAGGA